GUCAGACCCUCCUUACCCUGGACAGACGCCACCGAGACGGGUCAUCUCCAGCUCCAUCCUCAGCUGGGGUCACCUCCCUAGCAUGCGUGUGACCCUCUUCCUUGCUUCGGUCCUCGUGGGCAGCUCCCCAGCACGCUGAUUCUCUGCUCAGGAAUCCCUUCUUUCUGGAAAGCAUUCUCCUCUCCACCC
Molecule: long non-coding RNA, 189 nt
Filed under: Mustela putorius furo (domestic ferret)
Lineage: Eukaryota; Metazoa; Chordata; Mammalia; Carnivora; Mustelidae
Description: lncRNA (ENSMPUG00000025556.1)
Source: RNAcentral